UACAGAGGUCCCAAGCGUUGUUCGGAUUCACUGGGCGUAAAGGGUGCGUAGGCGGUCGGGUAAGUCUGAUGUGAAAUCUCACAGCUUAACUGUGAAACUGCAUUGGAUACUAUCCGGCUCGAGGAAUGGAGGGGAGACUGGAAUACUUGGUGUAGCAGUGAAAUGCGUAGAUAUCAAGUGGAACACCAGUGGCGAAGGCGAGUCUCUGGACAUUUCCUGACGCUGAGGCACGAAAGCCUGGGGAGCAAACGGG
Molecule: ribosomal RNA, 253 nt
Filed under: uncultured bacterium
Lineage: Bacteria
Description: partial 16S ribosomal RNA
Rfam family: Bacterial small subunit ribosomal RNA
Source: RNAcentral